AGAACGAACGCUGGCGGCAUGCCUAAUACAUGCAAGUCGAACGAACUCUUCGGAGUUAGUGGCGCACGGGUGCGUAACGCGUGGGAAUCUGCCCCUUGGUUCGGAAUAACAGUUGGAAACGACUGCUAAUACCGGAUGAUGACGAAAGUCCAAAGAUUUAUCGCCAAGGGAUGAGCUCGCGUAGGAUUAGCUAGUUGGUGAGGUAAAGGCUCACCAAGGCAACGAUCCUUAGCUGGUCUGAGAGGAUGAUCAGCCACACUGGGACUGAGACACGGCCCAGACUCCUACGGGAGGCAGCAGUAGGGAAUAUUGGACAAUGGGCAAAGCCUGAUCCAGAACUAGCG
This 344-nucleotide ribosomal RNA is filed under the name uncultured soil bacterium. RNAcentral describes it as "bacterial SSU rRNA". It matches the Rfam family "Bacterial small subunit ribosomal RNA", at positions 26 to 399 of the family's 1533-position model. The record is from RNAcentral.